ACUAGAUGUACAGGCUAACCGGAGGGGGAAAAAAGAGAAAAAUACACAGGAAUCCAUUACCUAACAUGCGCUAGAUGAUACACAAUCUCUACUUAACCCUGCUGUAUCUGGAACUACACAGAAGGAGAUACACUGAAGAAAUGACAACCUGCCCUACAAGGAACAAGACCUUCAAGGGACAGAAUUUAAAGCCAUAAAUCACCACAGAGACAGGUGACCUCAAAGGCUCCUUGGCAGUCUGUGUGGAAACCCUGGGAGCAAGAUGCUAACCCUCCACAGCCCAUGCAAGAAGGAGGAUCAGAGAUGUGCUGGGCUUGUGCAAGAACAACAGUCCUGGUAAACAAAAUGCAGAUCACAUCUGUAAACUGCUCAACAGAGAUGACGGUGUUACCUUCAUACAAGUUGAAAUUGGAAAAGGAAACGUCAAGCUAGUGUCUCAAAUGUUUCUUAAAUUCACACAUUACUGUCUUCAUUGCUCAAUAAUCUUCAGUGAAUCCAGAGGGAAGACAGCACUCCGGAGAAUCACAUUAAUCUCUCAGUCAACUCCAGCAGCACAACUUGGAAUGGCUUGUUAGCUGAUGAGGUCUUUAAGCUUCUCAGAGGCUCUGUAACUAGACACCUUGAAACCCGCUACUGAUAAUGCCUUUGUUCUGACUUCCAACUAACACAAGAGUUUUCGUAUUGUAGUUGCUCAAAGGAUCAGACUGUUACAGCACUCGGCACUUACCUCUGCUGAAGCACAAAGAACGGCCAGAUCUUGUACUCCAGCACAAUGACGAAUAGCUCGUGCACUACAGCUUCUGGCAAAGAAUACGGACUUACCACACUUAGAGGAUGGUCACCAAGCUUCAUUACUUUAU
Long non-coding RNA from Hyla sarda, 860 nucleotides. RefSeq lists it as uncharacterized. The transcript has 4 exons. Lineage: Eukaryota; Metazoa; Chordata; Amphibia; Anura; Hylidae. The record is from RefSeq and is a predicted model, not a curated record.